ACUGAACGCUGGCGGCAUGCUUUACACAUGCAAGUCGAACGGCAGCGACGGGUGCUUGCACCUGGUGGCGAGUGGCGAACGGUGAGUAAUGCAUCGGAACGUCGCCCAUGAGGUGGGGAUACGCCCGGACGAAAGCCGGAUUAAUACCGCAUACGCCCGUUAGGGGAAAGCGGGGGAUCUUCGGACCUCGCGCUAUUGGAGCGGCCGAUGUCGGAUUAGCUAGUAGGUGAGGUAAAGGCUCACCUAGGCGACGAUCCGUAGCUGGUCUGAGAGGAUGAUCAGCCACACUGGGACUGAGACACGGCCCAGACUCCUACGGGAGGCAGCAGUGGGGAAUUUUGGACAAUGGGCGCAAGCCUGAUCCAGCCAUGCCGCGUGAGUGAAGAAGGCCUUCGGGUUGUAAAGCUCUUUCAGGUGGAAAGAAAUAGCGCUGUUUAAUAGAUGGCGUUGAUGACGGUACCACCAGAAGAAGCACCGGCUAACUACGUG
This 489-nucleotide ribosomal RNA is filed under the name uncultured bacterium. RNAcentral's name for it is "bacterial SSU rRNA". It matches the Rfam family "Bacterial small subunit ribosomal RNA", at positions 30 to 507 of the family's 1533-position model. The record is from RNAcentral.